Molecule: long non-coding RNA, 2023 nt
Organism: Leopardus geoffroyi (Geoffroy's cat)
Lineage: Eukaryota; Metazoa; Chordata; Mammalia; Carnivora; Felidae
Exons: 2
Source: RefSeq, a predicted model, not a curated record
CAGAUGCCUUCACUGGUGAAUACCAGAUGAAUGUAAAAUUAGUGUGGCUUAAAGAUGAGGGAGAAUAUUUCAUAUGGUAAAGGGGCUUAUAUUGUAUCCUAAGGAAUGGGUAGGCAUUGGUCACAGAUGAGAUGAGUAGAGUCAUUACUUGCAAGUAAGGAACAGAAUGAAAUGGACACAGCAGGGAGGAUAGAGAUAAUGACAACUUUGUUCAGUGUAAUGGUUUAUGUUGUACAGGAAAUUGAUAAUGGAUAUGUAGGUUAGGGCCAAACAAAUGAAGUUCUUAAAUGGUGAUGUGAAGAGUUGGGACAUUAUCCUAGAUGGGAUCAAUUAGAAGAUUGUGGGCAAGGCUAUGAUAUUACAAAAGGAGAUUUUUAGAAGAUACAUUUAAUUGUAUUCAUGAUGAAUUGAAAACAUAGGAGAACAUAAUAGAUGACUGGUUAGGAGGUUUUGAUGGUGAUUCAGGCAAGAUUAUCAUAGGAAAAGGAUGAUUACACUGAGAUUGAAAGAAAACAAUUAUAUGGACAUGAAACUUAGUGGCCAAUAACUUAUAAAAGGUGAAUUAGAGUUGAAAAACUAUUAGAUGAUUCCAAGGUUUAUAAGAUGAAAAACUAGAAGGACAGUGGAAACACUAUCAAAAAUGGAGGGACUAGGGCAAAAAAACAGAUUUGGGGCAUGAACAAUGAAUGCAACUGGACAUUCAGAGUUUGAGAUCCUAGGAGCAUAUCGGGGUGGAAAUUUCCUAUAGGGCAAAUAUCCAGGACAGGAUUUAGAGAGAAAAUCCAGGUUAGGGGAUAUAGAUUUGAAAAUCAUUGCUUGACCACUUCUAGUAGUCUCCCAAAGGGUUUCAGAGAGCUCUAGAUAAGUGACGUAAAUAGUACUUUAAAUCAUUAUUUAAUGGGGGAACUCUUCACCUUUCCUCUUGCAUUUGUGUAUUCCAGCCAGAAUGAAGAAACAGAGAUGUGCUAUGAGAUACAGAGGAGUGCUCCCAUAGAGUACCACCCCACAAUAUUCCUAGAAAAGAUCUGGAAGAGCCAUGAAAAACCAAUCAGGGUGAUAAGCAUUCAGUGGUCAUUCCUGCAGGCAGCCUUUCCUAAACAGCAAUGGAUGGCUGAGUCCAAUUCAAGUCAGCCCCUUAAACCUUACCUGCUUUGAUAGGAGUUUUGGUUAACGAUAACAAGAGGAAGGGAUUAGAGUGGAAGAUAAAGAAAGCUGUUGGCCUAGUGCUCUCUGUAAUUCUGUACUCAGAAUAAAUGAGAAACAUAUUGGAAAAUAUUCUGAAAGUGAAGUUUCAAAAUUUCUACAGUAAAUAUUCACUUGCAAUUGAGCAUUUUGGGCGAACAUGGCUAUGAGUCUGAAUGGUGCGAAAGCUUAGAUAAUAAAGCCAAUAUGGUAAAUUCUAGAAAGAAGGUUCCUGUGUGGAAGUGCAAGAGAAAAUUUAUUAGGAAUAUAUUAGAAGAAAAGCCAGCAAAAUGUUUUUAAGAUCAGCUCAAUAGGUGAUCCUGAAUGAUAUUUCUUUUAGUUACUAGGGGUACAGGAUCUUCAGAAAAUGAUAUAAGUCAAAUCAAUGGUGGUGCUCCUUUUAAGGCUUCUAGAAAAUAGUACCCCUUUUAUUUAACCAGAUAAUAAGAGUUUUAUUGUUUAUUUUCUACCAAUAAUAACUUAUUUUCUCAUCUAAACAUCUCGAUUGAACUCCUUCAUACACAUUCUUACUUUAGAUCUGACUUUCUGACUUUUGACCAUUCAUUCCAAAAUUGGUGUUCCAACGGCUGCCUACUUCUGCCAGUAUCAAAACACAAAAUCAACAUGAUAAAAAAUAAUUAUGUGAUUCAAGAGGCUGUAGUGUCACUCAACCUCAUUUGCUACACCAAAUCUGGAGAACACCUGAGUUAAGUGGCCCAGGGGAGUGUCCUCAGAUGGGGGGAAUAAGGGAGAGAAGAUGGUAGCCAUUUUUACAUUGUUUUGCAUGGUAUUUAUUGAUCCAGGAAACAAACACAAAAUUCUGAAUAAAAUGACUUGGAAA